Molecule: ribosomal RNA, 462 nt
Filed under: Alteromonas sp. 06-027337
Lineage: Bacteria; Pseudomonadati; Pseudomonadota; Gammaproteobacteria; Alteromonadales; Alteromonadaceae
Description: bacterial SSU rRNA
Rfam family: Bacterial small subunit ribosomal RNA
Source: RNAcentral
UGGUAAGGUAACGGCUUACCAAGGCGACGAUCUCUAGCUGUUCUGAGAGGAAGAUCAGCCACACUGGGACUGAGACACGGCCCAGACUCCUACGGGAGGCAGCAGUGGGGAAUAUUGCACAAUGGGGGAAACCCUGAUGCAGCCAUGCCGCGUGUGUGAAGAAGGCCUUCGGGUUGUAAAGCACUUUCAGUUGUGAGGAAAAGUUAGUAGUUAAUACCUGCUAGCCGUGACGUUAACAACAGAAGAAGCACCGGCUAACUCCGUGCCAGCAGCCGCGGUAAUACGGAGGGUGCGAGCGUUAAUCGGAAUUACUGGGCGUAAAGCGCACGCAGGCGGUUUGUUAAGCUAGAUGUGAAAGCCCCGGGCUCAACCUGGGAUGGUCAUUUAGAACUGGCAGACUAGAGUCUUGGAGAGGGGAGUGGAAUUCCAGGUGUAGCGGUGAAAUGCGUAUAUAUCUGGAGG